Molecule: long non-coding RNA, 258 nt
Filed under: Mytilus galloprovincialis (Mediterranean mussel)
Lineage: Eukaryota; Metazoa; Mollusca; Bivalvia; Mytilida; Mytilidae
Source: RNAcentral
UAGGAGGACGCAACUAAUUUGUUGUUUGUAUAACUCAUCAAUAUCAAAUCGCUUGCUGAAUGAAAUCUUGAAGUACCUUCAUAAACUCAUUAUUGUACCGUGAUACAAUGUUUAUACGCCAGAUGCGUAUACACACAUUAAUUCAAUAUGCAUUUAAACAAAACGCACAUAGGGAUGAUAGAAACAUUAAUAUCUUGGUUAAUACCCUUUUCAAUUUACAGAAAUGGACUCUUUUAUAUUUGCAAAAUGGUAGUUUAC